This 429-nucleotide ribosomal RNA is filed under the name Actinomycetes bacterium. Its description in RNAcentral is "Actinobacteria bacterium partial 16S ribosomal RNA". It matches the Rfam family "Bacterial small subunit ribosomal RNA", at positions 355 to 776 of the family's 1533-position model. The record is from RNAcentral. Lineage: Bacteria; Bacillati; Actinomycetota; Actinomycetes.
UAGGGAAUCUUCCGCAAUGGGCGAAAGCCUGACGGAGCAACGCCGCGUGAGUGAUGAAGGUCUUCGGAUCGUAAAACUCUGUUAUUAGGGAAGAACAAAUGUGUAAGUAACUAUGCACGUCUUGACGGUACCUAAUCAGAAAGCCACGGCUAACUACGUGCCAGCAGCCGCGGUAAUACGUAGGUGGCAAGUGUUAUCCGGAAUUAUUGGGCGUAAAGCGCGCGUAGGCGGUUUUUUAAGUCUGAUGUGAAAGCCCACGGCUCAACCGUGGAGGGUCAUUGGAAACUGGAAAACUUGAGUGCAGAAGAGGAAAGUGGAAUUCCAUGUGUAGCGGUGAAAUGCGCAGAGAUAUGGAGGAACACCAGUGGCGAAGGCGACUUUCUGGUCUGUAACUGACGCUGAUGUGCGAAAGCGUGGGGAUCAAACAGG